AGCCCAGAGCCUGAAUCAGUGUGUGUGUUAGUGGAAGCGUCUGGAAAGGCGUGCGAUACAGGGUGACAGCCCCGUACACAAAAAUGCACAUACUGUGAGCUCGAUGAGUAGGGCGGGACACGUGGUAUCCUGUCUGAAUAUGGGGGGACCAUCCUCCAAGGCUAAAUACUCCUGACUGACCGAUAGUGAACCAGUACCGUGAGGGAAAGGCGAAAAGAACCCCGGCGAGGGGAGUGAAAAAGAACCUGAAACCGUGUACGUACAAGCAGUGGGAGCCUCUUAAUGGGGUGACUGCGUACCUUUUGUAUAAUGGGUCAGCGACUUAUAUUCUGUAGCAAGGUUAACCGAAUAGGGGAGCCGAAGGGAAACCGAGUCUUAACUGGGCGUUAAGUUGCAGGGUAUAGACCCGAAACCCGGUGAUCUAGCCAUGGGCAGGUUGAAGGUUGGGUAACACUAACUGGAGGACCGAACCGACUAAUGUUGAAAAAUUAGCGGAUGACUUGUGGCUGGGGGUGAAAGGCCAAUCAAACCGGGAGAUAGCUGGUUCUCCCCGAAAGCUAUUUAGGUAGCGCCUCGUGAAUUCAUCUCCGGGGGUAGAGCACUGUUUCGGCAAGGGGGUCAUCCCGACUUACCAACCCGAUGCAAACUGCGAAUACCGGAGAAUGUUAUCACGGGAGACACACGGCGGGUGCUAACGUCCGUCGUGAAGAGGGAAACAACCCAGACCGCCAGCUAAGGUCCCAAAGUCAUGGUUAAGUGGGAAACGAUGUGGGAAGGCCCAGACAGCCAGGAUGUUGGCUUAGAAGCAGCCAUCAUUUAAAGAAAGCGUAAUAGCUCACUGGUCGAGUCGGCCUGCGCGGAAGAUGUAACGGGGCUAAACCAUGCACCGAAGCUGCGGCAGCGACACUAUGUGUUGUUGGGUAGGGGAGCGUUCUGUAAGCCUG
This 944-nucleotide ribosomal RNA is filed under the name Escherichia coli. RNAcentral's name for it is "partial 23S ribosomal RNA". It matches the Rfam family "Bacterial large subunit ribosomal RNA", at positions 296 to 1251 of the family's 2925-position model. The record is from RNAcentral. Lineage: Bacteria; Pseudomonadati; Pseudomonadota; Gammaproteobacteria; Enterobacterales; Enterobacteriaceae.